RNAcentral lists this ribosomal RNA (468 nucleotides) under uncultured bacterium. Its description in RNAcentral is "partial 16S ribosomal RNA". It matches the Rfam family "Bacterial small subunit ribosomal RNA", at positions 28 to 507 of the family's 1533-position model. The record is from RNAcentral.
GACGAACGCUGGCGGCGUGCUUAACACAUGCAAGUCGAACGGAAAGGCCCUGCUUUUGUGGGGUGCUCGAGUGGCGAACGGGUGAGUAACACGUGAGUAACCUGCCCUUGACUUUGGGAUAACUUCAGGAAACUGGGGCUAAUACCGGAUAGGAGCUCCUGCUGCAUGGUGGGGGUUGGAAAGUUUCGGCGGUGGGGGAUGGACUCGCGGCUUAUCAGCUUGUUGGUGGGGUAGUGGCUUACCAAGGCUUUGACGGGUAGCCGGCCUGAGAGGGUGACCGGCCACAUUGGGACUGAGAGACGGCCCAGACUCCUACGGGAGGCAGCAGUGGGGAAUAUUGCACAAUGGGCGGAAGCCUGAUGCAGCAACGCCGCGUGCGGGAUGACGGCCUUCGGGUUGUAAACCGCUUUCGCCUGUGACGAAGCGUGAGUGACGGUAAUGGGUAAAGAAGCACCGGCUAACUACGUG